RNAcentral lists this long non-coding RNA (813 nucleotides) under Phoenix dactylifera (date palm). RNAcentral describes it as "long non-coding RNA (PDAC_LNC006183)". Lineage: Eukaryota; Viridiplantae; Streptophyta; Magnoliopsida; Arecales; Arecaceae. The record is from RNAcentral.
UGUUAGCUUACCCAUAAAUAAAAUGUUAAUAAUAUUAAAUUAAUAUUAAAAUUAUUAAAUUAGAAAAUAAUUUUUAUCGAUAAAACUUAAAAUGAUAGUUGUAAUUACUAUAGUUUUAAUAAAAAAAUUCAGGUUUUUAGCAACAAAAAAUUUGGUUACAAAACUUUUUACUUUCGUCGCUAGACAUUUUUAGUGACCAACAAUAUUUCAUCUUUAGAUGGUCACGAAAAGCCCAUUGCUAAAAGUUUACUGAUCGGUUCUUUCAAUUUCAAAAAUAAACCACGCAAUAGCACGUAUCCUGUAGGAUAGUGAUUACGAGUGUCGGUCCACAGGGAUUGGAGACAAGUUAUUUUUCUUAAUUAAAUAAUUAGUUCAAAGGCUUAAGCUAAAGUAAAAAAAGAAUUUUAAGUUAUCGAUUAAUGAGGACUAAAAAGUAAGAUGAAUGCAACGGUAAGAAUAUUUUAUAGAAAGAGAUGUUUAGGGUUAGAAUCUACCGAUGGAUUCGUAAGUGUGAUGCUUUCAAUGACUUAGAUGCGUGUAUGAUCUGAUUUCUCUUAACUACAAGUUAGGGCAAUCAUCCAAAAAGUUGAAAUCUAACCCACAGUAUAAGUCAUCUAAGCCUGGUACAAACCAUCUUCUCGAAGGAUAAGCAUGGUCAGUCCUAUUUAGCAUGAUUCAUCUGAUGAUUAAUUUCUCAAAGAUAAAUAUAGUAAUUGCAUAACAAUCUCCUCCAAACCACAGGUAUUGGAUUCGAUUUCGAUAAACUAGAUUAACUCAUGCAAAGGCUUUCUACAAGAGAAACAUCUUACACAA